Molecule: long non-coding RNA, 724 nt
Organism: Zophobas morio
Lineage: Eukaryota; Metazoa; Arthropoda; Insecta; Coleoptera; Tenebrionidae
Exons: 3
Source: RefSeq, a predicted model, not a curated record
UUCGACUUUAACGGGAAGCUUUGCUGUUUAUGGCGGUUCUUCACCGAUUUACUGGAUUGCCAGGGUCCGAAGUUAAAGCAAAUCUCCUGUUUUGCUGUUUGCUAGAUUGAAGAAGAAUUUAACUUCUGUCGGCAGAUGUGAUUUUAAAUAUGAUUGUUUCGUAGUGGUAGUGACCUUUUGGUAUGAUGAAAUGAUCGUGUUUUGAAGGUUAGCUACUGGAUCACUGAGAAGUGCGGGCGAAUAAAGUCUCAAAGGGUCGUCUUUAAUUUUUCCGUCUAGAAGAGCUUUAUAAAAGUUUUCCAACUGGUGAAUUUACGUAAUAAAGGCGGAGAGCCAACUUCUAGGGAGCUUAUUUUAAGAACUGCAGGUGAGUAAUCUAAGGAGAGCUCAUAUAGAAUCUUCUGUUUAACUGCGAGACAAAUAUUUUUUAUAAUUGCAAUGUCUAAUUUCAUCAGCAGUACCUCACUUAGGAAUGACUGUAGGGUUGGUUGGACCCAAAGCAAUAACCCCUUACUGUUGAUAAUUUCUCCAUUAGGAGUCCCCAUUCUGUAAUCCCAUAAUGAAUUUUUGCAGUUCAGAUCGCCACAAAGAGUUACGGAACUAUGAUAGCUCAUAACGAGUGAGCAAGGUGUCUUCUGACCAAUACUACUACACCUCCUUUUUAAGAGUCAAUUUAGUCUUUCGGCAUAUUAUGUAGUUGGGCAAUUUAAAGAAAUCUCCGGGU